AUGGAAGAAGAGGGCGCCCCGGCGCUGCGCGUGAUCCGGAGCUCCAUCGACGCGCUGGGGAGAGGGUUCGAUGCCACCCACGACACCAGGCUGCUCUACUGCAAGGGGUCUCGCCUCGUCGACGUCGACGAUGGCGAGCUGAGCUCCAGGGAUCUGGUCAUGCCUGACGGGCUGACUGUCCCCGGUGUGCCCAAGGGUGUUGACUGCUCCGGUGAGAGUGGGGUUGGUGUACCGGAGACCGCUGGCCCGUGCGCCUUCCACGAGAUGGCUGGGUAUUUCAACAAAAAAGCCCAGCUUGUAGGAGAUAUACCUCUUGGAAGCUUUAAUUCAGCAUAUAGUUUUACUGGAUCCAAGAGAUUUGAUGCCAUGGCUACCCAAAGUCUCGGGAUGGAGGGCAAGACCAUCCCUUUAUAUAAGGUCCAACUUGUGCGACAGCCUUUGUCAGUGGUAGAGGAAGUUAAGCAUGCAGUGCCUCACUCAUGGGAACCAUCAUCUCUCGCAAGGUUCAUUCAGAAUUAUGGAACGCAUGUCAUAACAUCCAUUACCAUUGGCGGGAAGGAUUUGAUUUACAUCAAGCAGCAUCCGUCAUCAUCACUUUCCGUAGUGGAAAUUAAAAAUUAUAUACACGAUCUUGGACAUCAGAGGUUUACUGAAAAUGAAAUCCAUACAGGCUCAGGCCCUAUAAGAUCAACGAAUAAGGAAAGAGAAAAUCUUGGGUUCAACAGCCAAGGAGUAUAUCCACAACCUCCAAGUACACCAUAUAUUGCUGCAAAAGAGGAUGUCACUGUGAUUUUCAGAAGGAGGGGAGGAGAUGAUUUAGUUCAAAGUCAUUCUGAGUGGGCAAGAACUGUUAACUCAGCGCCUGAUGUUAUACAUAUGACCCUUUUUCCUAUAAUGACUCUGUUGGAAGCAGCCAUCCCUGGAAAAGACCAUCUCAUCCGGGCGAUCAACCUUUAUCUAGAAUAUAAACCUCCAAUUGAGGAGCUGCGUUACUUCCUAGAGUUCCAGCUUCCCAGAGUUUGGGCACCAAUUCGUGAUGAGCACCCUCUCCAUCAAAGGAAAGAGCCUGUGUGCCCAUCCUUGCAGUUCAGCUUGAUGGGGAAAAAGCUGUACAUCAACCAAGAACAGGUGUCAGUGGGUCGCAAGCCAAUAACUGGCCUAAGGUUAUGCUUGGAAGGUGCUAAGCAGAACAGGCUAUGCAUCCAACUGCAGCAUCUAGCAUCUCUUCCAAAGAUCCUCAAGCCUUACUGGGAUGCACACAUCACGAUCGGUGCGGCAAAAUGGCAGGGGCCAGAGGAGCAGGACAGCCGCUGGUUUGAGCCUGUGAAGUGGAAUAGCUUCUCCCAUGUCAGCACAGCUCCAGUCGAGCACCAUGAGGUGCUCAUCGGGGACGCCUCCGGCGUGUACAUUGUCACCGGAGCACAGCUCGGGGUGUGGGACUUUGGUUUGAAGAACGUCCUGUACAUGAAGCUUCUCUACUCGAGGGUCCCCGGUUGCACCACCCGGAGAUCGCUGUGGGAUCACAGCCCUGCCGCCGCCAGCAGCCAUCCGACAGUUGGUCCUUCUAAGAUCACGUAUCUGGACCCGGGGGGUUCUGGCGCAGGCUCGAGCGAUGCAGGGAAGUUCGUGAAGAUCGUGGACAGGUCGGAGCUGUGCAAAGGCCCCGACGACAUGCCGGGGCACUGGCUGGUGACCGGCGGGAAGCUUGGCGUUGAAAAGGGGAGGAUUGUUCUGAGAGUGAAGUAUUCCUUGCUGAAUUACUGA
This 1764-nucleotide ribosomal RNA is filed under the name Triticum aestivum (bread wheat). RNAcentral's name for it is "partial small subunit ribosomal RNA". The record is from RNAcentral. Lineage: Eukaryota; Viridiplantae; Streptophyta; Magnoliopsida; Poales; Poaceae.